GGCGGGAUCCCUGAAAACCGGUCUCAGUUCGGAUCGCAGUCUGCAACUCGACUGCGUGAAGGUGGAGUCGCUAGUAAUCGCGGAUCAGCAACGCCGCGGUGAAUGCGUUCCCGGGCCUUGUACACACCGCCCGUCAAGUCAUGAAAGUGGGCAGCACCCGAAGACGGUGGCCUAACCCUUGUGGGGGGAGCCGUCUAAGGUGAGGCUCGUGAUUGGGACUAAGUCGUAACAAGGUAAC
This 238-nucleotide ribosomal RNA is filed under the name uncultured bacterium. RNAcentral's name for it is "partial 16S ribosomal RNA". It matches the Rfam family "Bacterial small subunit ribosomal RNA", at positions 1265 to 1500 of the family's 1533-position model. The record is from RNAcentral.